This 752-nucleotide ribosomal RNA is filed under the name uncultured Methanospirillum sp. RNAcentral describes it as "bacterial SSU rRNA". It matches the Rfam family "Archaeal small subunit ribosomal RNA", at positions 102 to 859 of the family's 1478-position model. Lineage: Archaea; Methanobacteriati; Methanobacteriota; Methanomicrobia; Methanomicrobiales; Methanospirillaceae. The record is from RNAcentral.
GGACAAUCUGCCCUGAAGUGGAGGAUAAUCCCGGGAAACUGGGGGUAAUACUCCAUAGUUCGUGCUGACUGGAAUGUUAUGCGAACGAAAGAUCCGUCGCUUCAGGAUGAGUCUGCGGCCGAUUAGGUAGUUGUUGGGGUAACGGCCCAACAAGCCUGUCAUCGGUACGGGUUGUGGGAGCAAGAGCCCGGAGAUGGAUUCUGAGACACGAAUCCAGGCCCUACGGGGCGCAGCAGGCGCGAAAACUUUACCAUGCGGGCAACCGUGAUAAGGAAACCCCGAGUGCCAGCACAGGCUGGCUGUCCGCCAGUGUAAAUAACUGGUGAAGAAAGGGCCGGGCAAGACCGGUGCCAGCCGCCGCGGUAAUACCGGCGGCUCGAGUGGUGGCCACUAUUACUGGGCUUAAAGGGUCCGUAGCUUGAUAUGCAAGUCUCUUGAGAAAUCCGCCAGCUUAACUGGUGGGCGUUCAGGGGAAACUGCAUUUCUAGGGACCGGGAGAGGUGAGAGGUACUGCCGGGGUAGGAGCGAAAUCCUGUAAUCCCGGUGGGACCACCUAUGGCGGAGGCAUCUCACCAGAACGGGUCCGACAGUGAGGGACGAAAGCUGGGGGAGCAAACCGGAUUAGAUACCCGGGUAGUCCCAGCUGUAAACGAUGCGCGUUAGGUGUGUCAGUGACCACGUGUCACUGAGGUGCCGAAGGGAAACCGUGAAACGCGCCGCCUGGGGAGUACGGUCGCAAGGCUGAAACUUAA